GGAUAGCUCAGUCUGUACACAGCAUGAGAGUCUUAAUUUCAGGGUGGUGGGUUCCAGCCCCACCUUGAACA
This is a non-coding RNA of Podarcis lilfordi (Lilford's wall lizard), 71 nucleotides long. The record is from the annotation of a GenBank genome assembly. Lineage: Eukaryota; Metazoa; Chordata; Lepidosauria; Squamata; Lacertidae.